GCCAGGAUAGCUCAGUGGUAGAGCAACUGAUUCGUAAUCAGUAGGUCGAGGGUUCGACUCCCUUUUCUGGCUCCA
Molecule: transfer RNA, 75 nt
Filed under: Candidatus Cloacimonadota bacterium
Lineage: Bacteria; Pseudomonadati; Candidatus Cloacimonadota
Description: tRNA-Thr
Rfam family: tRNA
About the family: Transfer RNA (tRNA) molecules are approximately 80 nucleotides in length. Their secondary structure includes four short double-helical elements and three loops (D, anti-codon, and T loops). Further hydrogen bonds mediate the characteristic L-shaped molecular structure. tRNAs have two regions of fundamental functional importance: the anti-codon, which is responsible for specific mRNA codon recognition, and the 3' end, to which the tRNAs corresponding amino acid is attached (by aminoacyl-tRNA synthetases). tRNAs cope with the degeneracy of the genetic code in two manners: having more than one tRNA (with a specific anti-codon) for a particular amino acid; and 'wobble' base-pairing, i.e. permitting non-standard base-pairing at the 3rd anti-codon position.
Source: RNAcentral